RNAcentral lists this unclassified non-coding RNA (220 nucleotides) under Hevea brasiliensis (rubber tree). Lineage: Eukaryota; Viridiplantae; Streptophyta; Magnoliopsida; Malpighiales; Euphorbiaceae. The record is from RNAcentral.
CUGGGUGGUGGCAUGUGGAGAGUGAAUUGCCCGAUCUAGAGCUGCUAAAGUUUCCAAAACUAAAACCCAUGAUGGCCCUAAAACGUUGUGCAACCGAUGAGCAAUGUUGAAGAGAGUCCUCAGGGCCUGCACAUUCUUGGGAGUAAGAACAACACUCUCCCUCGGUUCAACUAGUGACUCAGGCCGUUUUGGCCCAGGAGACAGCACUGCACUCUUUUUC